AAGUUGUUGCGGUUAAAAAGCUCGUAGUUUGAGUUGAGUUGCGGACUGGUGUGGGAGGUCACCNCCCGGUGCUUCCCCGUCAGGCUCCGAACAGCUUCCGUGAGUGGAAGCCAAGCCGGUUCUGCCGGGGUGCUCUUUACCGAGUGUCCCGCGCGGCCGGCCAGUUCACCUUGAAUAAAUGAGAGUGCUCAAAGCAGGCUACUCUGGAAUACAAUGCCCGAAUGUUAACUGCAUGGAAUGAUGGAAGAUGAUCUCGGUUCCAUUUUGUUGGUGGUGGGAGCCAGAGGUAAUGAUAAAGAGGGACUGUCGGGGGCAUCCGUACUACGACGCGAGAGGUGAAAUUCAGUGACCGUCGUAGGACGAACAACAGCGAAAGCAUUUGCCAAGAAUGUCUUCGUUGAUCAAGAACGAAAGUUAGAGGAUCGAAGGCGAUCAGAUACCGCCCUAGUUCUAACCCUAAACGAUGCUGACUAGCAAUUCGCCGUCGUUAUUCCCAUGACGUGGCGAGACGCCCCCGGGAAACCUCAAGUGUUUGAGUUCCGGGGGUAGUAUGGUUGCAAAACUGAAACUUAAAGGAAUUGACGGAAGGGCACCACCAGGAGUGGAGCCUGCGGCUUAAUUUGACUCAACACGGGAAAGCUCACCAGGCCCGGACACCAGAAGGAUUGACAGAUUAAGAGCUCUUUCUCGAUUU
Molecule: ribosomal RNA, 694 nt
Filed under: Macrobrachium trompii
Lineage: Eukaryota; Metazoa; Arthropoda; Malacostraca; Decapoda; Palaemonidae
Description: bacterial SSU rRNA
Rfam family: Eukaryotic small subunit ribosomal RNA
Source: RNAcentral